AGCGCUCCAGGCUCCUACGGGCUGUGCGGUGCCAGGGCUCGACUGCUGAGCGUCGUGGGCUCCGAGAGGGACGCGGGCGGAGGGCAAAGAGCGUCAGAUCAGGAUUGCUGAAGGAGAGCUGAGAAUGAAACCACCAUUUAUUCAGCACUCAGAAUGCUCCAGGCAGUGUAAUCUCAUUCCAUCUUCAUUCAUGACUCCAGACAGUUCUGCAUUUUCCAAGUU
Molecule: long non-coding RNA, 222 nt
Filed under: Homo sapiens (human)
Lineage: Eukaryota; Metazoa; Chordata; Mammalia; Primates; Hominidae
Description: non-protein coding lnc-SH3BGRL2-1:3
Source: RNAcentral